RNAcentral lists this ribosomal RNA (497 nucleotides) under uncultured bacterium. Its description in RNAcentral is "partial 16S ribosomal RNA". It matches the Rfam family "Bacterial small subunit ribosomal RNA", at positions 28 to 507 of the family's 1533-position model. The record is from RNAcentral.
GAUGAACGCUGGCGGCGUGCCUAAUACAUGCAAGUCGAGCGAACGGACGAGAAGCUUGCUUCUCUGAUGUUAGCGGCGGACGGGUGAGUAACACGUGGAUAACCUACCUAUAAGACUGGGAUAACUUCGGGAAACCGGAGCUAAUACCGGAUAAUAUUUUGAACCGCAUGGUUCAAAAGUGAAAGACGGUCUUGCUGUCACUUAUAGAUGGAUCCGCGCUGCAUUAGCUAGUUGGUAAGGUAACGGCUUACCAAGGCAACGAUGCAUAGCCGACCUGAGAGGGUGAUAGGCCACACUGGAACUGAGCCAGGGUCAAGACUCCUACGGGAGGCAGCAGUAGGGAAUCUUCCGCAAUGGGCGAAAGCCUGACGGAGCAACGCCGCGUGAGUGAUGAAGGUCUUCGGAUCGUAAAACUCUGUUAUUAGGGAAGAACAUAUGUGUAAGUAACUGUGCACAUCUUGACGGUACCUAAUCAGAAAGCCACGGCUAACUACGUG